Long non-coding RNA from Rhea pennata, 390 nucleotides. RefSeq lists it as uncharacterized. The record is from RefSeq and is a predicted model, not a curated record. The transcript is spliced from 3 exons. NCBI's taxonomy places the organism in Eukaryota, Metazoa, Chordata, Aves, Rheiformes, Rheidae.
GAGCUGGGGCCGCUCUGCGGCUGCCGCGCGGCGCGGGCGCCUCCGAGCCGUGUGUGAGUGAGGUCAGUUAAGGAAACAUCGCAGCGGCCCAUUCGAAGAGGAUUUGCAUGUAAGCAUGUUGAAUUUACAAACAGCAAUCAGAAUAAAAGUUACCCCGACAGAAAGCAGAAUAGGCCCUAGUAACUGAGUCCAUUCCAGUAGGGUUGUGUGCUGCUGCUUCUGUAGCUGAACUCAUGCUACUGCCUCCUGCACCUCUACAAUCCUGCUAAUCUGUCUGAGGAACCUGCAGCCCAGGGCUCCCUUCCUUGCCAGGCCAGAACCUCUUCCAUCUGCCAGAGCUUCUGCAUGCUUGUGCCUCAUUCUCCCUCACCAUUAAAAUUUUCAAAUAAA